This 29-nucleotide small RNA is filed under the name Bombyx mori (domestic silkworm). RNAcentral describes it as "ovarian small RNA-3180". The record is from RNAcentral. Lineage: Eukaryota; Metazoa; Arthropoda; Insecta; Lepidoptera; Bombycidae.
UCAACAGUCUUACAGUCUGCCAUUUGAAA